CACUGUCAGCGAUCAUCUUUACAACAUAACAAAUGUUUAAUCAGCCAAUAUAUAUCUCCUCUGUUUGCUUUAAUGUCUGUACUGUCAGAUCACCUCCAGCAGGAUCAGCAGCAACGACAGCAACUGUUGCCUGUUCUGGGUUGCUGUUUGACAAACUCUCCACCAGAUCAUUCCUCCUCAUCCUCUUUAAAACCCUCUUGGCCACCUCCACGCACUGAUUGCUGUAAGUCUGCACCAUCAGAUCCACCGUGUCCGGCCUGUCUGCGCUCUCCAGUUGGCUCUUUGGGAUCGGUGGGAGGUCCUUGAGGAAGUCCGGCUGCUGCAGCUCUCGGUGUGCAGCCGUCUCUGUGAGCGUCUCCCUCUUAUUUCCUCGUAGCAGCAGCACUACAGCAGUCACAGAUCACCUCCAGUAGUAUCAGCAGCAACCAGAGCAGCAGCAGCAGCAACAUCCCCAGAAAUCCCUCAACAGCAACAGUUAAGUUAAGUAAGUUAUGUCAGCCCACCGUGUUUUAAAGCUAGAUCUGGGUAUUCUCU
Micropterus salmoides (largemouth bass) is the source of this 534-nucleotide long non-coding RNA. RefSeq lists it as uncharacterized. NCBI's taxonomy places the organism in Eukaryota, Metazoa, Chordata, Actinopteri, Centrarchiformes, Centrarchidae. The record is from RefSeq and is a predicted model, not a curated record. The transcript has 4 exons.